CCAGACAGCCAGGAUGUUGGCUUAGAAGCAGCCAUCAUUUAAAGAAAGCGUAAUAGCUCACUGGUCGAGUCGGCCUGCGCGGAAGAUGUAACGGGGCUAAACCAUGCACCGAAGCUGCGGCAGCGACACUCAGGUGUUGUUGGGUAGGGGAGCGUUCUGUAAGCCUGCGAAGGUGGCCUGUGAGGGUUGCUGGAGGUAUCAGAAGUGCGAAUGCUGACAUAAGUAACGAUAAAGCGGGUGAAAAGCCCGCUCGCCGGAAGACCAAGGGUUCCUGUCCAACGUUAAUCGGGGCAGG
RNAcentral lists this ribosomal RNA (295 nucleotides) under Salmonella enterica subsp. enterica serovar Javiana. RNAcentral describes it as "partial 23S ribosomal RNA". It matches the Rfam family "Bacterial large subunit ribosomal RNA", at positions 1085 to 1378 of the family's 2925-position model. The record is from RNAcentral. Lineage: Bacteria; Pseudomonadati; Pseudomonadota; Gammaproteobacteria; Enterobacterales; Enterobacteriaceae.